Molecule: ribosomal RNA, 465 nt
Filed under: uncultured bacterium
Lineage: Bacteria
Description: partial 16S ribosomal RNA
Rfam family: Bacterial small subunit ribosomal RNA
Source: RNAcentral
CUACGGGCCGCAGCAGUGGGGAAUAUUGGACAAUGGGGGAAACCCUGAUCCAGCAAUGCCGCGUGUGUGAAGAAGGCCUGCGGGUUGUAAAGCACUUUCGGUUGGGAGGACUGCUUCUAGCACUAAUAUUGUUGGAAGUUGACGUUACCUUCAGAAGAAGCACCGGCUAACUCCGUGCCAGCAGCCGCGGUAAUACGGAGGGUGCAAGCGUUAAUCGGAAUUACUGGGCGUAAAGCGCGCGUAGGCGGCUAGAUCAGUCGGGUGUGAAAGCCCCGGGCUUAACCUGGGAACUGCAUCCGCUACUGUCUAGCUUGAGUACAGGAGAGGAGAGUGGAAUUCCACAUGUAGCGGUGAAAUGCGUAGAUAUGUGGAGGAACACCAAUGGCGAAGGCAGCUCUCUGGCCUGAUACUGACGCUGAGGUGCGAAAGCGUGGGGGGCAAACAGGAUUAGAUACCCCAGUAGUC